CCAGACUCCUACGGGAGGCAGCAGUGGGGAUAUUGCACAAUGGGGGAAACCCUGAUGCAGCGACGCCGCGUGGGCGAAGAAGUAUUUCGGUAUGUAAAGCCCUAUCAGCAGGGAAGAAGAAAUGACGGUACCUGACUAAGAAGCCCCGGCUAACUACGUGCCAGCAACCGCGGUAAUACGUAGGGGGCAAGCGUUAUCCGGAUUUACUGGGUGUAAAGGGAGCGUAGACGGUUACGCAAGUCUGGAGUGAAAGGCGGGGGCCCAACCCGCGGACUGCUUUGGAAACUGUAUAACUGGAGUGCAGGAGAGGGAAGUGGAAUCCCUAGUGUAGCGGUGAAAUGCGUAGAUAUUAGGAGGAAAACCAGUGGCGAAGGCGGCGUACUGGACGGUAACUGACGUUGAGGCUCGAAAGCGUGGGGAGCAAACAGGAUUAGAUACCCUAG
This 443-nucleotide ribosomal RNA is filed under the name uncultured bacterium. RNAcentral's name for it is "bacterial SSU rRNA". It matches the Rfam family "Bacterial small subunit ribosomal RNA", at positions 331 to 790 of the family's 1533-position model. The record is from RNAcentral.